RNAcentral lists this non-coding RNA (32 nucleotides) under Syntrophotalea carbinolica DSM 2380. The record is from RNAcentral. Lineage: Bacteria; Pseudomonadati; Thermodesulfobacteriota; Desulfuromonadia; Desulfuromonadales; Syntrophotaleaceae.
GGCAUCUCUGCGAAAAAUCAUAGGGUGACAAU